UAGGGAAUCUUCGGCAAUGGACGGAAGUCUGACCGAGCAACGCCGCGUGAGUGAAGAAGGUUUUCGGAUCGUAAAGCUCUGUUGUUAGAGAAGAACGUUGGUAGGAGUGGAAAAUCUACCAAGUGACGGUAACUAACCAGAAAGGGACGGCUAACUACGUGCCAGCAGCCGCGGUAAUACGUAGGUCCCGAGCGUUGUCCGGAUUUAUUGGGCGUAAAGCGAGCGCAGGCGGUUAUUUAAGUCUGAAGUUAAAGGCAGUGGCUUAACCAUUGUACGCUUUGGAAACUGGAGGACUUGAGUGCAGAAGGGGAGAGUGGAAUUCCAUGUGUAGCGGUGAAAUGCGUAGAUAUAUGGAGGAACACCGGUGGCGAAAGCGGCUCUCUGGUCUGUAACUGACGCUGAGGCUCGAAAGCGUGGGGAGCAAACAGG
RNAcentral lists this ribosomal RNA (429 nucleotides) under Bacillota bacterium. RNAcentral's name for it is "Firmicutes bacterium partial 16S ribosomal RNA". It matches the Rfam family "Bacterial small subunit ribosomal RNA", at positions 355 to 776 of the family's 1533-position model. The record is from RNAcentral. Lineage: Bacteria; Bacillati; Bacillota.